This 29-nucleotide small RNA is filed under the name Bombyx mori (domestic silkworm). RNAcentral describes it as "ovarian small RNA-21284". The record is from RNAcentral. Lineage: Eukaryota; Metazoa; Arthropoda; Insecta; Lepidoptera; Bombycidae.
UACUAGAAAUUGUUCGAUUCGAACCCAGC